This 460-nucleotide ribosomal RNA is filed under the name uncultured bacterium. RNAcentral describes it as "partial 16S ribosomal RNA". It matches the Rfam family "Bacterial small subunit ribosomal RNA", at positions 338 to 795 of the family's 1533-position model. The record is from RNAcentral.
CCUACGGGUGGCAGCAGUGAGGAAUAUUGGUCAAUGGACGAGAGUCUGAACCAGCCAAGUAGCGUGAAGGAUGACUGCCCUAUGGGUUGUAAACUUCUUUUAUAUGGGAAUAAAACGUUCCACGUGUGGGAUUUUGUAUGUACCAUAUGAAUAAGGAUCGGCUAACUCCGUGCCAGCAGCCGCGGUAAUACGGAGGAUCCGACCGUUAUCCGGAUUUAUUGGGUUUAAAGGGAGCGUAGGUGGAUUGUUAAGUCAGUUGUGAAAGUUUGCGGCUCAACCGUAAAAUUGCAGUUGAAACUGGCAGUCUUGAGGACAGUAGAGGUGGGCGGAAUUCGUGGGGUAGCGGUGAAAUGCUUAGAUAUCACGAAGAACUCCGAUUGCGAAGGCAGUUCACUGGACUGCAACUGACACUGAGGCUCGAAAGUGUGGGUAUCAAACAGGAUUAGAUACCCGAGUAGUC